RNAcentral lists this ribosomal RNA (275 nucleotides) under Bacillus pseudomycoides. Its description in RNAcentral is "partial 16S ribosomal RNA". It matches the Rfam family "Bacterial small subunit ribosomal RNA", at positions 552 to 826 of the family's 1533-position model. Lineage: Bacteria; Bacillati; Bacillota; Bacilli; Caryophanales; Bacillaceae. The record is from RNAcentral.
UAUUGGGCGUAAAGCGCGCGCAGGUGGUUUCUUAAGUCUGAUGUGAAAGCCCACGCCUCUACCGUGGAGGGUCAUUGGAAACUGGGAGACUUGAGUGCCUAAGAGGAAAGUGGAAUUCCAUGUGUAGCGGUGAAAUGCGUAGAGAUAUGGAGGAACACCAGUGGCGAAGGCGACUUUCUGGUCUGUAACUGACACUGAGGCGCGAAAGCGUGGGGAGCAAACAUGAUUACAUACCCUGGUAGUCCACGCCGUAAACGAUGAGUGCUAAGUGUUAG